Molecule: long non-coding RNA, 1160 nt
Filed under: Chinchilla lanigera (long-tailed chinchilla)
Lineage: Eukaryota; Metazoa; Chordata; Mammalia; Rodentia; Chinchillidae
Description: lncRNA (ENSCLAG00000022633.1)
Source: RNAcentral
UUGGAAAAAAAAAGAAAGAAAAGAAAAAGAAGAAAAAGAAGAAAAAAAUUGUCAAGCCCCCGAACUGAAGGUUAUGAGCGGCCCGUCAGCAGCCCACAUGUAACCGAACUGUCGUGUUUCAUGGCUUUUUGCCACUCCAGAUGUCAAUCAAAGCCCGGAAUGUCAAGCUUUGCCCCCGCGAUAUCGCUAAUAGGAUCCUCUCUCUUUAAAGUAUUGUUGAAAAAAAAGCGGGGAGAAAAAUGAAGAAAAAAAUGAAUAGUUUGCAAAAAUUGGACUUCCUCCCCCCCUUUCCUGGUAGGUAUUUUGUCUCUCCCUCUCUCGCGCGCGCUCGCUCGCUCGCUCUCACUCGCGCUCGCUCUCUCUCGCUCGCUCUCUCUCGCUCUCUUUCUCUCUCUGGGAGAUGAGUGAGUGUCAGUAGGUGUUGGCAGGUUGGCUGCUGCCUGGCUUAUAGACGAGCCUCAGUUUGGCGGCGCGGGUCGGCGGCGGGAGAACGAAAUGACGGAACCCGGAAGUCGUGGUGGCCAUAGCCCGUCGCGCGGCGGAGACACAUCCCGGGAGCGGGGAGCGGGAGCGAGGAGGAGCGCGCGGCGAGGAGCCUCUGAUAUGCAGCGAGUGCGAUCCGACGUCCCCGGCCGGGGGGAGGCGGGGGCCGGGGGGAGGGGAGGCUGGAGCCGCGCGGACCGAGCAAAUCAGAGAGCCUGCUGCUCCGCGGGGACGGCGGGGGAGGAGGGAGGGGAGGGGGCCGGAGGGCGCGCGGGUGUGCGUACGCGGGCGCGCGCGCGAGCGAAUGGGGAGCGAGGAAGAGGGAGAGGGGGAGAGAGAGAGAGAGACAGAGAGACAGAGAAAGAAGAGGACAGGGAGAGCGCAGAGAGGAAAACUGCAGAAAACCACAGGGAAACUCCAGAAGAGACCAGCUUAACUCAGAGCAGACUCCCUCCCAGCGGUGCAGACAAGGGCCACCCGAAGAGGCUCUGGGGGCCGCAGCGGAAUCGGGAGGGAGUCGUGGGGUGUUUGGUGUCCGACGUAGCCAAGGGGGUGUGUAUGCGUGUGCGCGCGCGCGCGACUGGUGUGCGCCUCCAAAGUGGGUCUCAGCGAGCUGGAGGACACGAGCAGGGAAGACACACGGGAGGGAGAAAACAAGAGAGGGAAAGAGAAGAUGC